UUUUCUGAUAGUUGCAGCAUUGGCAGAUGUAUUAACAUAGCAUUCAGGGGUUUUCCUGGCUUAAAGUGAGCCUUUGUGGGACGAUUAAGCACGUAAACAUGACUGAUCUGUAAAUCGUGACGGCAAAGAAUCCCGUCUCCUGUUCUUUUUGGCCAUGUGAUAAACAAAAGUGUUUUUUAAGCUUGAAAACAUGAAACCCUUUCACAAAGAAUCACAGUCCUAGUGGAAGACCAACCCUUUAACGUGGAUGAUAAACUCAUGUUAAUGAUCUUUUUGAGGGCACAGAUUUGGACAGUGGCUGCUGAAGUGUCAUUAAGCAAGGCACCGAAGUAAACAUCCAAAGCCUGUGUGAAGUGUGUUAACCACCACCGUGUAUCUUUGUGUCCUGGUCUGAACCCCACCGCUGAGCUGAGCUGUUCUGUGGUUACUCUGAAGCAAAAGUGUGUUUUAAAGUGGACCUAUAUAUAUAUAUAUGCUCACUUCAACUGCUGCAGCUUGAUUCACAGUUCAGAAUAAUCCUUUUUUUUAUGUCAUACUGGGCCUCGGUGCAGCCCCUCACCCCUCGCUUUAAAGGUUCGUUUUGUAAAACUUUGUGACUGGCAAGUUGAAAACCUGUCAAAAUGAACAAACUGUCAAUAACAUUUAGGGUUAAAUAGGGCCGUGCUGCAGGCUUAUGCAAUACCACUUUGAACCACAAGAUGGUGCAGCAUGAAACAUUUAAAUCUAAUUCAAGCUGCUUUUAGCUCAGCAUUUGUUCAAAAUUCAUGUUAUUGUCAUAUUUAUGUGUACCAACUAAAAGAGAAUAUAGGUGUAGAAACAUUAGAUUAGUUAAAAGUCAGCUGUUGGGGAUUCACACCCAUACUAAAACGAGUUUGGAAAAUGCUGCCACCUUGUGGUGAAAGUUUUUGUUAAUUUUUUUUAGGGUUUUUACAAAAGUACCUUUAAAGGUCACCCUCCCUUUGAGCUAACUUUCCUCUGCCUCUCACAGAAGGAAAAAACGUCUUUUGUGUCUGAGACAACCAUAUUAGGAACAUCCACUCUCUAUGAUGUCAUCCAGAGCCAAGAGUAAAAAAAGAAAUACUGUCUGAAACUGAGCGUUUAAAACAGUCCUGAGCUUUAAACUGAAAUAAAACAGUACAGGAAAUAACAGAAUGAAAAUCAAUAAAUAAAAGGAACAAAAGCUUAUUUUGAAGCUGCUACCUAAAUGAAUCGGAGGAGAGAUUUAGUUAGAGCUAAAAACUGUGUGUACAGAGUAAGUAAAAUGAGGAUAUGCAUAAUAGGUCCACUUUAACUCCAGUAAAACAGAAAAUGUUAAACGUCUCUACCUGUGCUGUCUGCGGGUGUACAAACACAGAAUAUGUGCUUGAAGUGAUCCUUUAAAUCUCAGUAAAAUGUUUCAUUACCUUUUUUAAUGUUUUUCUGGUUUGUGGUCCUCAUCUGUGACGUCAUUACUUUGACGUACUUUGGUAAAAUUCUUCAUUUUACUGUAGGAGGUGACUCUGUCCUCGCAGCAGUUCAGAGGGGCGGGUUCAGACUUGGUACAGUCCAAAUGAAGGUCAAAUGAAGUCUUUGCUCCCCGCUGUAUCAGAGCCAUAAUUUAUCUGUUUCUCAG
Long non-coding RNA from Astatotilapia calliptera (eastern happy), 1612 nucleotides. Lineage: Eukaryota; Metazoa; Chordata; Actinopteri; Cichliformes; Cichlidae. The record is from Ensembl.